CGGAGAGCAGAGAGGGAGCGCGCCUUGGCUCGCUGGCCUUGGCUGCGGCUCCUCGGGAGAGCUGGGGCGCCCACGAGAGGAUCCCUCACCUGGGUCUCUCCUCAGGGAUGACAUCAUCCGUCCACCUCCUUGUCUUCAAGGACCACCUCCUCUCCAUGCCGAGCUGCUGCCAAGGGGCCUGCUGCCCAUCUACACCUCACGAGGGCACUAGGAGCACGGAUUCCUGGAUCCCACCAACAUACAAAGCAGCCACUCACAGACCCCCAGGACCAGGAUGGCAAAGGAUGAAGAGGACCGGAACUGACCUGCCAGCUGUCCCUCUUACCUAAAGACUUAAACCAAUGCCCUAGUGAGGGGGCAUUGGACAUUAAGCCCUGACUUUUGCUAUGCUCAUGCUUUGACUCUAUGAGUACUUUCCUAUAAGUCUUCGCUUGUGUUCACCUGCUAGCAAACUGGAGUGUUUCCCUCCCCAAGGGGGUGUCAGUCUUUGUCGACUGACUCUGUCAUCACCCUUAUGAUGUCCUGAAUGGAAGGAUCCCUUUGGGAAAUUCUCAGGAGGGGGACCUGGGCCAAGGGCUUGACCAGCAUCCUGCUGGCAACUCCAAGGCCCUGGGUGGGCUUCUGGAAUGAGCAUGCUACUGAAUCACCAAAGGCAUGCCCCACCUCUCUGGAGAUCUUCCUAUCCUUUUCUGGGGAAUGGGGUCAAUGGGAGCAACCUCCUAGGGUUGUUGUGAGAAUUAAAUGAGAUAAAAGAGGCCUCAGGCAGGAUCUGGCAUAGAGGAGGUGAUCAGCAAAUGUUUGUUGAAAAGGUUUGACAGGUCAGUCCCUUCCCACCCCUCUUGCUUGUCUUACUCGUCUUAUUUAUUCUCCAACAGCACUCCAGGCAGCCCUUGUCCACGGGCUCUCCUUGCAUCAGCCAAGCUUCUUGAAAGGCCUGUCUACACUUGCUGUCUUCCUUCCUCACCUCCAAUUUCCUCUUCAACCCACUGCUUCCUGACUCGCUCUACUCCGUGGAAGGGCACUCACAAAGGCACGUGGGCCGCGGCCCAGCUGGGUCGGCUGAAGAACUGCGGAUGGAAGCUGUGGAAGAGGCCCUGAUGGGGCCCACCAUCCCGGACCCGAGUCUUCUUCCUGGAGGGCCUCUCGUCUCCUUCCUGUUUUGGGCGGAAGCCAUCACCUGGAUUCCUACGUGGGAAGGGACCUCGAAUGUGCGACCCCAGCCCCUCUCCAGCUCGAAAUCCCUCCACAGCCACGGGGACGCCCUGCACCUAUUCCCACGGGACAGGCUGGACCCAGAGACUCUGGACCCGGGGCCUCCCCUUGAGUAGAGACCCGCCCUCUGACUGAUGGACGCCGCUGACCUGGGGUCAGACCCGAGGGCUGGACCCCUGCCCACCCCGCAGGAACCCUGAGGCCUAGGGGAGCUGUUGAGCCUUCAGUGUCUGCAUGUGGGAAGUGGGCUCGUUCACCUACCUCACAGGGCUGUUGUGAGGGGCGCUGUGAUGCGGUUCCAAAGCACAGGGCUUGGCGCACCCCACUGUGCUCUCAAUAAAUGUGUUUCCUGUCUUAACAAAAACAGUGAU
This 1583-nucleotide long non-coding RNA is filed under the name Pongo abelii (Sumatran orangutan). RNAcentral describes it as "lincRNA". The stretch from base 518 to 622 matches the Rfam family "Maternally expressed 3 conserved region 2". Lineage: Eukaryota; Metazoa; Chordata; Mammalia; Primates; Hominidae. The record is from RNAcentral.